RNAcentral lists this ribosomal RNA (253 nucleotides) under uncultured bacterium. Its description in RNAcentral is "partial 16S ribosomal RNA". It matches the Rfam family "Bacterial small subunit ribosomal RNA", at positions 524 to 776 of the family's 1533-position model. The record is from RNAcentral.
UACGUAGGGUGCAAGCGUUGUCCGGAAUUAUUGGGCGUAAAGAGCUCGUAGGCGGUCUGUCGCGUCGGCUGUGAAAACCCGUGGCUCAACCCCGGGCCUGCAGUCGAUACGGGCAGACUAGAGGUAUGCAGGGGAGAACGGAAUUCCUGGUGUAGCGGUGAAAUGCGCAGAUAUCAGGAGGAACACCGGUGGCGAAGGCGGUUCUCUGGGCAUUACCUGACGCUGAGGAGCGAAAGUGUGGGGAGCGAACAGG